GCCGGGGGAAGCCCCCUCCACGCGGCGCGACCCCCGGCACCCCUCUCGGGGGAGGAGGCCCUCCGCCACGCCGGCGUGGGGAGGGCCGGGCGCCGUUCGUGAAGGAGAAGAGUCCCUCGGCCAUGCCUGCGUGGGGAGGAGCCGCCUCCCGCCGCGGAAGAGAGCCCGCGAGUGGGGCGGAAGCUCCCACCCGGCGGGCCGGGAGUGGGGCGAAGCACCCGUGGGUCGGCCGCCGUCCCUUCGCCGCCGCGUUAUGCAGGCUUAUGAUAUGCACCUCUGACCAGACUUGCUGUUGCUUCUCAGAUCCCUUCAGUCCCUGUUGACACUUCAUUUGGCCAAGGCCUGUCUUCUCUCUCUUCUUUGCCUUUAGGACUGAUGGGCUCAGUAGCGUGAAGGACAGAUUGCCCAUUUCCCUGAAGUUAACUCCAAGCUGACUUCUCACUGCAAAUGGACAGUUUCUCAAAGAUGAGGCUAGGUGGAGCAGCUCCAUGCUAUCUCAACUAUGGAAGGCCAACUUUGUGCUAACUUGGGGACUUCUGUGGAAAAACCUCCAGGAGCAAGUCUUCCAUCCUUCAUUGCUUUGCUGAAGGUAUACCGAGAACUUCUGGUCAGUAGAAUCCGAAACACGCAGUGUUUGAUUGACAACUUGAUUAAGAAUGAUUACUUCUCCACUGAAGAUGCAGAGAUUGUUGCCCAGUUUCCAACUCAAGCAGAUAAGGUUCGCAAAAUGCUAGACUUGGUUCAAAGCAAGGGAGAAGAAGUUUCAGAAUAUUUCAUCCGUGUCCUGCAGAAAGUCACUGAUGCUUACUAUGAACUUCAACCUUGGCUGGAUGAAAUAGGUUAUGAGCCUUCAGACAAUAUUUGUAGUAAACCUGUGGUAAAUACAGAUCCAGUUAGCAGGUAUUGCCAGAAACUCAGACAUGAACUGGGACGGGACUCCAAGUUUGUUAUGUCAUAUGCUCAGAGGGAAGAGAUGCUGCUUGAAGAAAUCUACUCUAACAGUACUAUGCAGCUGGUCAGUUUUACCAAUGAGAGUCUAGGCGAAGUAUGUCAAUUAGAAGCCCUUUUUGAUGAUGCAGUUGGGCUAAUUAAUGAAGAUGGAGAAACUAUUUAUGUCUUUGGUGAUGCAGGAAUUGGAAAAUCCAUCUUGUUGCAAAAGAUACAAAGCCUUUGGGCCAGAAAAGAACUGGACGUAGGAGCCAAAUUCUUCUUCCGUUUCCGAUGUAGGAUGUUUAGUUGCUUUAAGGAAGAUGAAGCCAUAUGUUUGAAAGACCUACUCUUCAAAUAUAAUUGCUACCCAGACCAGGACCCCACAGAGGUGUUCCAUUACAUCUUGCAAUUCCCUCAUACAGUUCUGUUCACAUUUGAUGGCUUUGAUGAGAUCUAUUCCAACUUUGAUCUCAGUAGUGUGCCCGAGAUGUGUUCACCCAAUGAACCCAUCCACCCCCUGGUGCUGCUGGUAAGUCUUCUCAGAGGAAAGCUUCUUAAGGGAUCCAAGAAAAUUCUUACAGCGAGGACAGGAACUGAGAUCCAAAGAAACAUCAUUAGAAAGAAAGUGUUGCUCCGUGGUUUCUCCAGCAGUAACCUGAAGGAAUACACUGCUAUGUUUUUCAAAGAUGAGGGGCAACGAACACUGGUUUUGAACCAGUUGGAAGCUAACCCCAAUCUCUGCAGUUUGUGUUCGGUGCCUUUAUUUUGUUGGAUUAUCUUUAAAUGCUAUGAACACUUCCAUUCCAUGUUUGACAGUCAUGAGCUUCCAAACUGUUCUGUUACAUUGACAGAUGUAUUUUUGCUCAUGAUUGAAGUCCAUCUGAACCGAUCUCUGAAAACAAGUUUGCUGAAGAACAACACCAGGAGCCAAGCAGAGAUGUUCAAAUCAAGAAAGGAAACUCUUCUAGCUUUGGGUAAAAUGGCAUACAAAGGGAUGGAGAACUCUUUCUUUAUCUUUGAGCAGGACGAAGUCUCAUCAGUGAACAUCUCUGAAGGAGAUUUGCAAUUGGGCUUUCUCAGGACAGUUAAAAGUUACAGUGGCUGUGACAGUCAGACCACUUAUGAGUUCUUGCACUUAACCCUUCAGUCUUUUUUCACAGCUUUGUUCCUGGUUAUUGAAGAGAAAGUGGGUGCCAAGGAGUUACUUCAGUUUUUCAAUGAAUGUUCUUCCACUGAGACUGCCCAGACUACUUGCUUUCAUAUUCCUUGGUUGAGGAAACAGCUAGCACGGGAGGAUCCUUUCCGAAAUAAUGAACACUUCCAUUUUACCAACAUGUUUCUUUGUGGCCUGCUUUCUAGAUCGAAGCAGAAGCUCUUCAGGCAUUUAGUGUUGCCUGCAGUCAUUAAGAGGAAGAGAAAGACGCUCAUCACAUACCUUGGGGAGAGCAUGAAAUCCCACUUGAAAGGCAUCACUCGUUCCAGGCUUCCAAACUACAAUCAGGUCCAGGUCCAGCCCAAUUUUGUUUGGAUGCUGAGGUGCCUUUAUGAGACUCAGAGUGAGAAGGUGGGGAAGCUGGCUGCCAAACGCAUGCGUGCCAAUUACAUCAAGCUCACAUACUGCAAUGCCUGCUCAGCUGACUGCAGCGCUAUUUCCUUUGUUAUGCAUCACUUUCAAAAGCGCCUGGCUCUAGAUUUGGACAACAACAACAUCAAUGACUAUGGAGUAAAACAGCUGCUACCUUGUUUCAGCAAGCUGGCAGUGAUCAGGCUCAGUGUAAAUCAGGUCACAGAUCACGGAGUGAGGAUCUUGUAUGAAGAGCUCUCAAAGUACCAAAUUGUGACUUUCUUGGGCUUAUACAACAAUCAAAUCACUGACGUUGGAGCCAAAUAUGUUGCAAAACUAAUUGAAGAGUGUUCAAGCCUUGAAUAUGUCAAAAUAGGAGCAAACAAAAUAACUAGCGAAGGAGGGAAGUGCCUUGCCCAGGCCAUCCAGAAGAGCAAGACAAUGUUUGAAAUUGGGAUGUGGGGUAAUCAAGUUGGAGAUGAAGGAGCGAAGGCGUUUGCAGAGGCGCUGAGGAACCACCCCAGGUUAACAAACGUGAGUCUCGCAUUCAAUGGCAUCACGACAGAGGGAGGCAAAAGUAUUGCUGAAGCUAUGCAACACAACAACUCCGUGAAAAUAUUCUGGGCUUCCUCUUCAGUAUCUCUUUGUGUCCAGCCUUUAGAAAUUGCUCAGGGCAGGAACAGCACAUCCCCCUUUGGCUGUCUAAAGUUGACUAAAAACGAGCUAGAUGAUGAGGCAGCAAUGAGUUUUGCAGAGAUGCUGAAGGUCAACAAGAAACUGGUGCAUUUAUGGCUUAUCCAGAAUCAGAUUACAGCCAAAGGGGUGAGGUACCUCAGCGAAGCUCUCAAGGAGAACACAGCCAUUAAAGAAGUCUGUUUGAACGGGAACCUGAUAAGCCAAGAGGAGGCCAAAGCUUUUGAAAAUGAAGAACGGAUCAUUUGCUUUUGAACGAGGACUUUCCCAUUUUUGACAAGCGUCGUGUUACUAAGGUUACUCCUACCCUUGGACUGCAAAGUUUAUAAAGGCAUAAAUCUGUAGUGCUCAUGGCAGGAGAGAGAUGCAUGAUUAGCUGCCUUUUUACGAACAUGCUGCGCUCCCUCAGCCCCAUCCCUUACCCUGCCUGUUAUUCUUAAUCCUUUUGUGUGUACAAGGAACCUAAAAUGGAAAAGCAUGAUCCAUUUUCCUUCCUUCUCCCAUGUUACCACCCGUCCAGAACUUUGAGAAAUAAUUCUGCAGUUGCUGACUCACCCACAAAACUUUGGUAGGCUGGAAGAAGAAUCUCCAGUUAAAAUGCCAAACCAGUGAACCCUCACCUUCCCAUUUCCCAAAUCAGCCCGCCUGAAGCAAAACAUCAGAAAAAGGCUUGGGUUUAAGUCAGACUUUCUCCGUUUCCUACAUGGUAACAGACCUUUCCCAGGGCCCAAUUCCAUCUAUUCCAGCUGACAAACACAUUUUAAAAUACUCAUAAAGCUUUUCACAGAACCAGCACUUAAAAAAGAAGAAAAAAGGAGAAAAGCAACUUACCAUUCAUUAUCUUUCAGCGGAUUUUCCUCCCUCUCUGUGGUAUCAGCACUGAUUUUUCACAGGGGGACAGAUGACUGUGCCAGAGGAAAGUCAGCUAACUUGAAUGAUUUCUGCACCUGAGCCGUUUGUUUACUGAAGCAAAAGGGCACACAGCUACAGACGAGCUGGAUUUCAAUUGCAAAAGCAACUGCCAAAGCAAGCCCUUUAAAGACUUCUCAGUGGCUUUAACAGAUCAGACCCCCAUGCACCUUGUCAAAACGUUCCUGUUUCACCAGCCUGCCCUUACGGAGGGGAGGAGACGCUGGUGCAGGAAGGGCCUUCAGCAGAGGUGUCAUUUCCCUCUGUUGGAGGGAAGUGUGGCUCCCAGUUUGCUAUAAUCACUGAAUUAUUUGCUCAUUUACCAGGUAAAAAAUCUAGUUAAAAACUCCAGCUACUGUCCUCACUUCACUGAUAGACUACAGCAGUACAGUGUCCCCGACAGCUCCCUCCAAGCUUUCCAGUGGAGACACUUCUGCCCCUUUUUUGGGUUUAGCACGGCCUUUGGUGCUAUUUGCAGCAGGACAACCACCUCAGCCCCCUUGCAAAUGCUGUUACACCCCCGGCUGUGACAAGCCAGGCAGCCAGGGCAGUUUUUUUUCAGCGACAGGAGCAUCUUCAGAGCCACAGCAGCUAAACACGGCCUCGAGGCGGUGGCAGGAACAAGCCCAGCUCCACGGAGGCCAGAGGUUGGCAUCGAUUACGGCAGCCAGCGACCGUGCCAGUCACAGCCACUCAUUUCAGAGGCUAUUUCAGGCUGCAAGCGCUCCUUUGGGCUGGGCUGAAGGACAUUUCGCAGCAUCCCGCUCCCAGCUCGCCCAGGGCAGGCGGUCUGGUUCACGCAGCACGGCGCCGCUUCGGGAAUUGUGCUGGGGAGAGCGGCUGCUGCCCCAGGAGCAGCUGGAGUUUCCCUGUUUAUUGGCACAGCAUUUCAGGCCGCAGUUCUUUAGUCUUCCUGGACUAUUCGCAGAGCGCGUCGGAGCAACACAGCUCGCAGCUAGAGCCUUGUUCACCCCAAUUCAGAGACAACUUUUUUAAGACUUGUUUGUAAUUUGCUAAGACAUUGUGUGCGGCGUUGUUUGUUUGUUUGUUUGUUUGUUUUUUUCCACUUGUCCACGGUGAUAAUAAACAGCUUUUUAAAGAACUCGAACCAGCUGCCUGCAAAGUGCUUUGGCUUUGCCGACGCCCUGUCAAAGCAGACGCUUGGCUGGAUCGAGACAGGGCU
This is an RNA transcript of Tyto alba (common barn owl), 5279 nucleotides long. It is a transcript of the gene named nucleotide binding oligomerization domain containing 1, with no coding region annotated. The transcript is spliced from 15 exons. NCBI's taxonomy places the organism in Eukaryota, Metazoa, Chordata, Aves, Strigiformes, Tytonidae. The record is from RefSeq and is a predicted model, not a curated record.